GACGAACGCUGGCGGCGUGCUUAACACAUGCAAGUCGAACGGUGAAGCUCCAGCUUGCUGGAGUGGAUCAGUGGCGAACGGGUGAGUAACACGUGAGCAACCUGCCCCUGACUCUGGAAUAAGCGCUGGAAACGGCGUCUAAUACUGGGUACGAGAAGGGUCCGCAUGGGCACUUUCUGGAAAGUUUUUCGGUUGGGGAUGGGCUCGCGGCCUAUCAGCUUGUUGGUGAGGUAAUGGCUCACCAAGGCGACGACGGGUAGCCGGCCUGAGAGGGCGACCGGCCACACUGGGACUGAGACACGGCCCAGACUCCUACGGGAGGCAGCAGUGGGGAAUAUUGCACAAUGGGCGAAAGCCUGAUGCAGCGACGCCGCGUGAGGGAUGACGGCCUUCGGGUUGUAAACCUCUUUCAGCAGGGAAGAAGCGAAAGUGACGGUACCUGCAGAAGAAGCACCGGCUAACUACGUG
RNAcentral lists this ribosomal RNA (468 nucleotides) under uncultured bacterium. RNAcentral's name for it is "partial 16S ribosomal RNA". It matches the Rfam family "Bacterial small subunit ribosomal RNA", at positions 28 to 507 of the family's 1533-position model. The record is from RNAcentral.